RNAcentral lists this ribosomal RNA (254 nucleotides) under uncultured bacterium. RNAcentral's name for it is "partial 16S ribosomal RNA". It matches the Rfam family "Bacterial small subunit ribosomal RNA", at positions 524 to 776 of the family's 1533-position model. The record is from RNAcentral.
UACGUAGGGUGCGAGCGUUGUCCGGAAUUAUUGGGCGUAAAGAGCUCGUAGGCGGUUUGUUGCGUCGGCCGUGAAAACCUGCAGCUUAACUGUGGGCCUGCGGCCGAUACGGGCAGACUUGAGUUCGGUAGGGGAGAUCGGAAUUCCUGGUGUAGCGGUGAAAUGCGCAGAUAUCAGGAGGAACACCGGUGGCGAAGGCGGCAUCCUGGACCAACACUGACGCUGAGUGAGCGAAAGCCAGGGGAGCAAACGGG